Molecule: RNA transcript, 3316 nt
Organism: Trichosurus vulpecula (common brushtail)
Lineage: Eukaryota; Metazoa; Chordata; Mammalia; Diprotodontia; Phalangeridae
Gene: CCDC27
Gene name: coiled-coil domain containing 27
Exons: 13
Source: RefSeq, a predicted model, not a curated record
AAAUAUAAAGAGAUUUGGAUGCUGGCCUCCUGACUUGGGAGAUUGAAAAAAAGAAACAAACAAACAAACCACAAAACCCAGAGCUAUGCCAGGCCACAUGAACAUUUAAAUCGUGAAACGCUAAAUACCACUUAUUUUUUUUCCUGAGAAAGUCCUGUUGUGAGACAGGAGAGGCCAACAUUUUCUACCUCCUACAAAAAAAGAUCUUUCGGUGACGAGCUACAGGCUUUUCCUUUGGGUUUCUGAUGAUUCCUGGAAAGUUAAAAGACGGGCUGAGGAAACCGGGCAGGAACAACAAUGCCGUUACCAAAGGCUUCCGCAACCUCUGGGACGUUGCCAUCCGGAAUGCAAAGACUGCAUCCAACAUACCAAGUCCGUGCCUGCUCCCCAAACCCAGUUCUAGCUCCAGCUAUUACAAGAACAAGUGACUGUCCCGACCCCUCCGUCUUUCAGGAGGAAGGUGGCAAGGAUACUCUGAACACCCCUGAUAUCGGCAUCCACAGCUCAGCCAGUUCUUACAAAAGCAACAUUGCCGGGGCCGGUGGCCUCCUCACCUGUGGGACUGGGUAUCUUCCGCUAAUGCAGGAGCUGCAGAGGGCCUUUCUCAUGCGGGCUGAAUGCCCCAGGUUUAGCAACAGGUCAACUUCAACAUCACAGUGGGGGCCAGGUUUGGUUACUGUGUCUGAACUGCCCAGUGGCACACACCUCAAAGACAUCAACUAUGAAAACUGGAAAAUGACCGAUGAAACAUCAUUCUCGAACAUUUUAAAGACAACUCAAACAGGGAAAAAGCUCACAUAUAGCCAGAGUGCCUGUGAAUUCCAAAACUUAAGACAAAGCUACGAGGGUCCCAGUUCUCAGACCAUGAUAAAGGGCCCCCAAAGCUGGAAGAUUCCUUGGUAUGCUACUGUGAUUCAGGAGAAGGAUCGGCACUUGGUCCUGAUGAAGGAUGAGCUUAACCGGCUUACAGCUUUAGAAGAGGCUUGCCGGAAGAAGGAUGAUGAGCUUGCCCAACUCAAAGAAGAGGUGAAAGACCUACAGAAACAGCUGCAGUUCCUAAGUGAAGUCCGAGGAAUAGAAACUAACCUCAAGGAAGAGGUGUCGAGGGUAAGCCAAGAAGGCAGUGGUGUCCUGGGCAAAAAGGAGGACCUGGGACAGGCCCUGAAGCCAGAAGAUACCCCGACUAUUCAAGACAUGAGGGGAAGUCAGGACACCAGUAUUCUUUCCACUGCAACUUAUGAGGAUGCUGAAAUCCAAGGACAGAGCAUCACAGCGGAGGUGAAGGAUGGAGGUUUCAGAACAUGCAUAGACAGUUAUGGGCCCCUCCCACCCCAUGAGGCAAGACAUAUCAGUACCUCGGGGAGCAUUACCAAAGAUGAAGAGGAGCUACUAAGAUCAAUGAAAGAGGCUUCUCAUUUUGUUGGAAAAAUCCGAAAACCACCCCACCUCCCUGACGAGUGUGAUAGCGAAACAGAAGCCAAAAUCAUCGAGGAAGAUGAGAAAGUGUCAGAAGAGGAUGUAGUAGAAGGAAUCGAGUAUUUAGACAGGGAAGUAGAGGAAGAACUCAUAGCCAGGAUGAAUGAGUAUGAGCAGGUGAAUGACGAGCUCCGGGCUGAGUUGGAAAUCAUGAAAAAUGAGUACUCAAUUGUCACAGCUUAUUUUCUCUUCUUUUCUCAUUUUUUUUCUUCUUGUCCCACUUUUCUUCCUAUUUUUCUCUCUCUUCUCUUUUUUCUCCCUCCUCUUUUACUUUUUCCUCUCCCCCUUACUCUUCUCCUCUUUUUUCUUUCCCUUUUCCUCUUCUCCUUCUUUCUACUUUUUUUCUUUCCUUCUUACUAUUGUUUCUCUCAUUUUCCUUUUUCCUUCUCUAUCCCUUCCUCCUCUCCAUUUUCUCCCUCCUGUUACUCUUCCUUUUUUCUUUCCAUUCUCUCCUAAUGCUUUUUCUCUUCUUUUCUCUUUUUCUUUUUAUUGUCCUCCUUUCCUCUUCUUCUUUUUCUCCCUCUCCCUUCUUUUUCUACUUUUCUUCUUUCACCAUUUCCCUUUUCUCCUCUCUGUCAUCUCCCUCUUGUUCCUUUUUCUCUCUUUCCUUUUCUUCCUAAAUUUCUUCCUUUCUUUCUUCUUCACUUUCAUCUUUUCCUCUCCAUUUUUUUCUCCCUCUCUUCUUCAUUUCUCCUCUUCCUCCUUCCUACUCUCUUUUCAUCCUCUUCCUUUUUUUCUUAUCUUCUCUCUUUCUACUCUUCUCCCUUCCCUUUCCUUCCUUUUCUUCAUUCCCUCCCUCUUGUUAGUUAGUUUCUCCUUUCCCUCCUAACUCUCUUCUUCUUCUUUUUUCCUCCUUUUCUUUCUUCUUAUCCUCUUCUUCUUCUCUGUCCCUCUCUCUUCAUUUCUCCCUUUCCCUUCUCUUUUUUCUCCUCCCCCUUUCUCUUCCUCCUUUCCCUCUUCCUGUUUUCCUUUUCAUCUCUCCUUCCUUUUUUCUCCCUUUCCCCUUCUUAUCCUCAUCCUCUUCUUUAUUUUCUUUUCCUUGUUCUCUUCUUAUUCCUCUUUAUUUUUUUUUCCUUCUGGCUACUCUUUCUUCUUCCUCUCUUUUAUUUUUUUUUUCUUUCAGGAACUAUUCUGUCUUUACAAAGACAAGUAGAUUUCCAGGAAUCCCAGCUGCAAAAAACGACACUGGAAAAGGAAACCCUGCAAAAGGAACUCCGAGAAAGGAAAGCUCAGCUUCAAGCCAUGUCGGACAAGUUUGCCAGCCUCCGAGAAGAACGAAAACAUGAAGAAAUGAUGGGCCUCAUCGAGAAGGACAAUCUUAACCUCAGACAGCAUGUAGCUGAGCUGGAGUUUGAACUAAAGAAGAGAGAAGAGGUCAUCUCAGAGUAUGACAGCAAGAUCAAUCAGUUGCAGGCCCAGGUGAAUCUAGACAAAAACCACAUGAACCGGCAGAAGCAGAACCAUGAGGACCUCCAGAACCGCUAUGAAGAAAUGCACUUAUCGGAGCAACAGUACCGAGUGCUCCUGGAGAGUUGCCAAGCCCGGCUUGAAAGGCUAAGAAGUAAAAUCAUGCAGGCUGCAUUUAGUACAGCAGGGAUCAAGUCUCCAGCUACGGAAAUUACAGACACUGACAUCUUAGAAGCCUUGCAGAGAAUCAUUAACGAGCGACUGGACUUUUAUCAGCAGCUGAAACAGAAAGGGGUGAAAGUACCCCCCCUCCACCAGACCGAGUUGGUGCCAGUCACCCCCAAGACCAAGAAAGGGAAGUAACAUCCAUUCUGGGAAAAUCUCUUAUGAUUUGUUCAGCCAAGCUGAGACAAAAGCUAUUUUCUAGUAGGUG